UCGCAGUUCGAAUUUUGACAAUCAAUUGCGCCCUCAGACUCUGCGCUUGGUAAAAAUGAACCAUGCUCGACGGAGAUCUAUCGGCGAUGCAAGAAGAAGAUAUGGUGGGAGCGAGCUGCUGUAAUGUAUUGUCGCUCAGGCGUCUUUUGACAAAAGGUAGCAUGGGCCUAAUGGGCUGUACUUAUGGAUAAAGAACAUGUUACAUGGUGGAUGUGCCCUUGAAUCGUCCAUGGACAGGCUGUGACUGAGAUAAGUUCUCUCUUAUUACUUUCUUCUUUACUGAAUUUAUAUCUCAACAUGUGUUUCUUCUGAUUGAGGAAAGUAUUUGGUAACCAUAAAACUGUAAAUUACUUCCCCUAACAUCUCACUUAAGUAUGCAUAAAGCAAUUAAGAUUAACCCAUAUCCAGAUCCUCUUCUCAUCCUUAGAUGAUGUGUUAUGUUAAUGAUAACUUACUUGAGCGGAGUACUUACAUAGCAUAAUGCUUAAUUGCUCCCAUUAAUUUGAUUUCAAGAGCUUCUUUUUUGA
Molecule: long non-coding RNA, 527 nt
Organism: Tripterygium wilfordii
Lineage: Eukaryota; Viridiplantae; Streptophyta; Magnoliopsida; Celastrales; Celastraceae
Exons: 2
Source: RefSeq, a predicted model, not a curated record